AAAAAUGGAACCGGGGUUGCGGGAGAAGCCAAACGCGGCGAGUCUUGCUAAAGCCGUCGCCGUAGCAACGCGCGGAGCCGUCUGGGAGAGGCCUCUGGAGCAGGAGGCCCAGUGGCUCUUCUGACCCAAGGCUCCGCCGUCCAGCUUCUAAGUGCCAGAUGAUGGAGGAGCGUGCCAACCUGAUGCACAUGAUGAAACUCAGCAUCAAGGUGUUGCUCCAGUCGGCUCUGAGCCUGGGCCGCAGCCUGGAUGCGGACCAUGCCCCCUUGCAGCAGUUCUUUGUAGUGAUGGAGCACUGCCUCAAACAUGGGCUGAAAGUUAAGAAGAGUUUUAUUGGCCAAAAUAAAUCAUUCUUUGGUCCUUUGGAGCUGGUGGAGAAACUUUGUCCGGAAGCAUCAGAUAUAGCGACUAGUGUCAGAAAUCUUCCAGAAUUAAAGUGAGUGAGAAGUAGUUCUGCCAAUUUGAUGAUUUUUAAAACUCCUCAUAUUUACUCAUUUCUCAAUUCCUUGCUGAUGAAGCCCUUUCUAAUUGGAAAGAGCUCGCUGCUCAUUAUCCACAUGAUCUCUAGCAAGAUUUGACUCUCUCUGAGCCUCAGUUUCCUUUUCUUUAAAAUGGGGACAGUGAUUCCUGCUUGCCACACAGGCCAAAUAGGUUGAAAAGGUGUUGUCAACCAAAGGGCACUCACAGGAGGA
Molecule: small RNA, 692 nt
Filed under: Pan troglodytes (chimpanzee)
Lineage: Eukaryota; Metazoa; Chordata; Mammalia; Primates; Hominidae
Description: retained intron
Source: RNAcentral